Molecule: ribosomal RNA, 778 nt
Filed under: uncultured bacterium
Lineage: Bacteria
Description: bacterial SSU rRNA
Rfam family: Bacterial small subunit ribosomal RNA
Source: RNAcentral
AGAGUUUGAUCAUGGCUCAGACGAACGGCGGCGUGGAUUAGGCAUGCAAGUCGACGAAUCCCACCUGUGUAGCAAUACAUGGGUGGGGGAAGUGGCGAAAGGGGCAGUAAUGCAUGGGUAACCUACCUUGGGGAUGGGCAUAGCCGUUCUAACGAACGGGUAAUUCCCAGCGAUUCGGCGGGAAGGCAUCUUUCUGCCGGGAAAUGAGUUUCGCCUCGAGAGGGGCCCAUGUCGUAUUAGCUAGUUGGUGGGGUAACGGCCUACCAAGGCAAAGAUGCGUAGCGGGUGUGAGAGCACGACCCGCGCCACUGGCACUGAGACACUGGCCAGACACCUACGGGUGGCUGCAGUCGAGGAUCUUCGUCAAUGGGCGCAAGCCUGAACGAGCGACGCCGCGUGCGCGAAGAAGGCCUUCGGGUUGUAAAGCGCGAAAGUGGGGAUAAAGCCGCAAGGUUGAUAGAUCCACAGUAAGGACGGGCUAAGUUCGUGCCAGCAGCCGCGGUAAGACGAACUGUCCUAACGUUGUUCGGAAUCACUGGGCUUAAAGGGCGCGUAGGCGGUCGGCCAAGUCAGGGGUGAAAUCCUGCAGCUUAACUGUAGAAGGGCCUUUGAUACUGGUCGUCUGGAGGGAGGUAGGGGUGUGCGGAACUUCCAGUGGAGCGGUGAAAUGCGUUGAUAUUGGAAGGAACGCCGGAGGCGAAAGCGGCGCACUGGACCUCUUCUGACGCUGAGGCGCGAAAGCUAGGGGAGCAAACGGGAUUAGAUACCCCCGUAGUCC